AUCGCAACGAUUGCGACCCCAGGUCAGGCGGGGCUACCCGCUGAGUUU
This 48-nucleotide ribosomal RNA is filed under the name Vincetoxicum hirundinaria. Its description in RNAcentral is "partial 28S ribosomal RNA". The record is from RNAcentral. RNAcentral also lists the same sequence under 8 other names. Lineage: Eukaryota; Viridiplantae; Streptophyta; Magnoliopsida; Gentianales; Apocynaceae.